CACUCAUCAUCUCAAUUCAAAUUUGUAAACACUUUUAUUUUAUCAAGGAUGCCUGCGAGCUCCAUCACCAUUUUCAUCAUCAUCUGUAAUUGCUAGUAGGCAAAAUUGUAAGUCUACAUUUCAAAGUUUAAUAAACUUAUUUUCAAAAUAUACCUGCAUCAUUAAUUUUAAUUCAUUAUUUUCAUUAUGAAGAAUAUUUUCAUAACCACUGAUUUUGAAUGGCAUAAAAUUCUUACUCAUAGUCAAUUAAUUCAGUAUCUCAAAUUCAAGGUAAAUACCGAUCAGUGUUUCAUCAUCUUCUUCUUGUCUGUUUAUAAUAUUUGGUAUGAUAUAUGCACUCCCAAUGAACAUAAUGACUGUAGUCUUAAUUGUUGUCCCCAUAAUCUUUAUCAUCGUCAAUAGAUAGGCUUCCGUCCCAUUUGGUGUAUAUAUAUAUAUAUAUAUAUAUAUUGUGAUUGUGGUGCAAUUUCUAUGGUGAUUAUGGAAUUCCAUUAGUGGAAAUUAUGAUUUGCAUUGUGGUUGCAAUAUUUCAUAAUUUCUAUGAAUGUGUGAUAUAUAUAUAUAUAUAUAUAUAUAUAUAUAUAUAUAUAUAUUGUGAAUCACUCACGUGUGGGGAUGUGAGUACAGAUUUUGUGGAUUGGAAUUACAGGUUCCCUGGAUGAUUUUGAUGACCUGGGAGUGAAAGGGACUGUGAGGUUCCCCUAGGAUUUGAUCCCCUAAACCUUCAGAGGGUGUUAUACAGUCAGGCUACUCCUAUGGGAUAGUCUAUGUGGUAUAGCCGUUGGGAAUGGACACUCCUGGAUGGAGAGUUACCAGGAGUUAGGGGCACCACGUGUUGCCUUGGGUUUCGAUCCCCUAAACCUUUGGAGGCCUACACGGUCGAACAUGUACCAUAUCCUGUGGGGAGGGUAAUUGGUUCUAGGGUAUAUGAUUAAAUGGACACUCUUGUUACCCUACUUCAUGUUGUUGUGGUCAAAUUUGAUUAUUACUUCAUGUUGUUGUGGUCAAAUUUGAUUAUUACUUCAUGUUGUUGUGGUCAAAUUUGAUUAUGUUAGCACACAAAUUCUGGAGGUAAAUCGUGGUGACGGUUAUGUAAAGCCAAUGAUGGUAAGUGAUUUUACCAAUGAUUAUGAUUAGAAAUUCCAAUGAUUUGGCUGGAAUUUCUAAUAUUUGACUUGUCAAUUCUGAUGGUUUAGCUUGAUAUUAUGAUAUUCACUUAGCCGCUGAUGAUUAUGGUUUGGUAUUGUGAUAAUUGUUUGGCCGAUAAUGGUUUGGUUGGAAAUUAUGAUAUUUGGUUGCCAAGGAUGAAAAUGGCAAAAAAAUUUCUAAUGUUUGAUAUCGCCAGUGAUUGUGGCUAGAAAUUUUGAGGAAGAAUCGUGGUAACGGCUACGUAUAGCCAAUGAUGGUAAGUGGUGUACCAAUGAUUGUGAUAUUUAUUUUGCCAAUGUGAAUUAUGACUUAAGGGGAUAUUUAUUUUGCAAAUGUGUAUGGCUAGAAUUUCCGAUAUUUAUUCUACCAAUGAGCGUGGUAGGAAACCUAAGUAUAAAUGAUUACUUUGUGGAAGUAUUUAUUUUUGGGACUUGAAUAAAAUCGUAGACUGAGGUAUGAUUUUAUUCACUAUAAAUGGAAUGUUGGAAUUAGCGUUAAUCCCUUUUCGUUAUUCGAUGGUUGAAAUCUCGAGGACGAGAUUUAUUAUAUUGGGGGUCGAAUGUAACACCCUGAAUAUUUUAAAAAUGAUGUCGAUAUUCAUUUUAUUGUUUAUGUGGAGGAAGAAAAAAACAUAUCAAUUUAUGGUUAUGAAAUUCGAAUGGGGAAAAAUGUGAAAUCCCUCUUUUGAAUUAAGAAUUAAUUAUGUCGUAUAAUUUUUCGUUAAGUGAGGAAUGACGAAAAUGCCUUUUUUGGUUAGCGUAAUUAUACGAG
Molecule: long non-coding RNA, 1920 nt
Filed under: Malus domestica (apple)
Lineage: Eukaryota; Viridiplantae; Streptophyta; Magnoliopsida; Rosales; Rosaceae
Description: long non-coding RNA (MDOM_LNC020509)
Source: RNAcentral